AAACAAGAAAUCGCGUUGGUAGAAGUCAACCACUUUUUCUACAUGUCAAGCCAAGGGUCUCUAAUACCAAAAAACGAAUUUAACGAAGCUUGAAAUAAUGAUGGCCUUGCAAAGUUCAACCUCAUGCGAGUCUCUCUCUCUCUCUCUCUUGGAAUGCUGAGUGGCAGAGUUGUAAACACAGUUUCGAGCUGAUUUGGUGUGUGUCUUUUCGUCAGGAAACGUCUUCUUUGAAACUAAAGCUGUGAGAACCGAUAAUGGAGUACACUGCUCCUCACCAGAAGAAUUUCCGCAAAUAGAGAAUGGAGAAAAUUUUACAAACUGGAAAUUAUCGGUGAGUAUUGCGGAAAUACCAAGCACAAAUUUUACAGUGUUUGACUGCAACACUUAUCAAAUUUGGUCUGAGUGCAUAUUUUCUGGCUUUCCUUGUGAAUGGCUUCGAGAAAAUCUUAAGUGUGGUCACUACAGUCAACAUUCAAAUGGAAAAUGCAUCACUGAUCGACCAAAUUAUAAAGUUUUGACUGUCAAGGAUGGACAAGAUAUUUGUCCGUCGAUAACUGUCGACCCAAUUAUUACAGUACCAUCAGGAAAAAAGAAAGCAGUAAGGGUGAAUGUUCUAAUAAUAGAGGUCCUCCUGGUUCAAGCAAGAUUUCGAUUUCGAAAACAAUGCAGAAACAAUUUACUGCUCUGAAAUUGAAUUUUCUUACGAGUCUAAGGAUCCAAAAAUAUUGGUGCUAUUUCUUUUAUAUGCUGGACGACAUGGUUUUCAUUUCGAAAAUCCAAAGGAGAUAUACAAAAUGUGGAGAAACGCUUUUUCGUCAGUGGAAGAAAAAUACAGUUGUGGUUGGUGUGAGAAAACAAAUAGCUGUGAGACUCAAGAUUCUUGUGAAGAAUUGUGGAGAACUCGGAAGUAUUAUUGUGAUUAUUUAGACUCGAAUGUAACAGCGUUGCUUUAAUAGUAGCAAUAGUACUCACCGCACUGGAGUCCUUGGCCUUGAAAAGGUAACAAUAAUAUAGUGCAUCAUCGCCUUUGAGAGUGUAAAGAAAGCUGCCACCUUUUAUGUCCUGGGCACUUGGUGGUACCAGUUGAGGUUUCAAGGUGCUGUUUAAUGUAUGUCUAAACAACGGCUCCUCUUUGUUGGGGACGUAUGCCGAAAUGGUUCCAGAAGCCAACAGAAGAUUAACCUAAAUCAACAUUGUUAAGCACGCUUGUGAAAAUGAUAUAAUAUGUACUUUAGUGAUUUUAGGUGUCACGGGAAAAACAAGAAGCGAAACUUAUUUCAAGUUCUGAGCGUUUAAAUUAUUUUUUUAAUGUUUGCCUUUUAAAUCUCGUUUUAAACCGAAAAUAGUCAUCAAAUACUGGUUUAUUUCGCAGGAAAGAAAGUAGUCUACUCUUUAAAUAAAUACAAAUAACAAUUAUAGAU
This is a long non-coding RNA of Belonocnema kinseyi, 1421 nucleotides long. RefSeq lists it as uncharacterized. The record is from RefSeq and is a predicted model, not a curated record. NCBI's taxonomy places the organism in Eukaryota, Metazoa, Arthropoda, Insecta, Hymenoptera, Cynipidae. The transcript is spliced from 5 exons.